AAUGAACGUUGGCGGUGUGCUUAACACAUGCAAGUCGAGCGAGAAAGUUCCUUCGGGGAUGAGUAGAGCGGCGAACGGGUGAGUAACGCGUGAGGAUCUUCCCUUCAGUGAAGGAUACCCUUGAGAAAUUAAGGUUAAUACUGCAUACGACCGUUAUUAACAUAACGGAGAAAGAUGGCUUUAUGCUGUCGCUGAAAGAUGAACUUGCGUUCUAUUAGCUAGUUGGUGGGGAAAGGCUCACCAAGGCGAUGAUGGAUAGCCGCCUGAGAGGGUGAACGGCCACAUUGGAACUGAGAUACGGUCCAGACUCCUACGGGAGGCAGCAGUGAGGAAUAUU
RNAcentral lists this ribosomal RNA (337 nucleotides) under uncultured bacterium. Its description in RNAcentral is "bacterial SSU rRNA". It matches the Rfam family "Bacterial small subunit ribosomal RNA", at positions 29 to 365 of the family's 1533-position model. The record is from RNAcentral.